UUUGGUGGCGAUGGCGAAGAGGUCACACCCGUUCCCAUGCCGAACACGGAAGUUAAGCUCUUCAGCGCCGAUGGUAGUUGGGGGAUUCCCCCUGUGAGAGUAGGACGCCGCCAAGC
Molecule: ribosomal RNA, 116 nt
Organism: Bacillus gobiensis
Lineage: Bacteria; Bacillati; Bacillota; Bacilli; Caryophanales; Bacillaceae
Source: Rfam